Molecule: ribosomal RNA, 253 nt
Filed under: uncultured bacterium
Lineage: Bacteria
Description: partial 16S ribosomal RNA
Rfam family: Bacterial small subunit ribosomal RNA
Source: RNAcentral
UACGUAGGGGGCAAGCGUUGUCCGGAAUCAUUGGGCGUAAAGCGCGUGUAGGCGGCCAGAUAAGUCCGCUGUGAAAUCUCGAGGCUCAACUUCGAGCUGUCGGUGGAAACUGUCUGGCUAGAGUCCGGAAGAGGAGAAUGGAAUUCCUGGUGUAGCGGUGAAAUGCGCAGAUAUCAGGAAGAACACCCGUGGCGAAGGCGGUUCUCUGGGCAUUACCUGACGCUGAGGAGCGAAAGUGUGGGGAGCGAACAGG